CCGGGCUUGAAUUGCAGACUAAUGCGGCAGAGACGCCGCAGUCCUUCGGGAAGUCUGUGAAGGUGCUGCAUGGUUGUCGUCAGCUCGUGCCGUGAGGUGUCGGCUCAAGUGCCAUAACGAGCGCAACCCCUGUCUCCUGUUGCCAUCAGGUUAAGCUGGGCACACUGGAGAGACUGCCGCCGUAAGGUGUGAGGAAGGUGGGGAUGACGUCAAAUCAGCACGGCCCUUACGUCCGGGGCUACACACGUGUUACAAUGGCCGGUACAACGAGAGGGCUGCCCGCAAGGUCAGUCAAAUCCUGAAAACCGGUCUCAGUUCGGACUGGAGUCUGCAACUCGACUCCACGAAGCUGGAUUCGCUAGUAAUCGCGCAUCAGCCAUGGCGCGGUGAAUACGUUCCCGGGCCUUGUACACACCGCCCGUCAAGCCAUGAAAGCCGGGAGUGCCUGAAGUCCGUGACCGCAAGGAACGGCCUAGGGCAAGAUCGGU
This 488-nucleotide ribosomal RNA is filed under the name uncultured Prevotella sp. RNAcentral's name for it is "bacterial SSU rRNA". It matches the Rfam family "Bacterial small subunit ribosomal RNA", at positions 975 to 1472 of the family's 1533-position model. The record is from RNAcentral. Lineage: Bacteria; Pseudomonadati; Bacteroidota; Bacteroidia; Bacteroidales; Prevotellaceae.